RNAcentral lists this long non-coding RNA (249 nucleotides) under Elaeis guineensis (African oil palm). RNAcentral describes it as "long non-coding RNA (EGUI_LNC015037)". The record is from RNAcentral. Lineage: Eukaryota; Viridiplantae; Streptophyta; Magnoliopsida; Arecales; Arecaceae.
CACUAUUUUCUGACUGAAAGCAGUGAAGGUCCAGCUGCAGCAUCAUCCACCACAGGCAGGCCUUACAAUCCUCAAACUCGAUGAUAAAGCUGGUGGUGGCAAUAUUAGUGGCCUCCCUCUCAAACAUCAUGGAGGUCCCAAAAUCCUAGAUGCAAUGCUCCCGGAGCGCAAGGGGGAUUCACUCGAACUAGGGGGCACCCUCACCCCCAGAAGAUGGCGAAGACUGCAAGGCGGAUGGUGCCCUACGGG